AGUGUAAAGGCAUAAGGGAGCUUGACUGCGAGACCUACAAGUCGAGCAGGGUCGAAAGACGGACUUAGUGAUCCGGUGGUUCCGCAUGGAAGGGCCAUCGCUCAACGGAUAAAAGCUACCCCGGGGAUAACAGGCUUAUCUCCCCCAAGAGUUCACAUCGACGGGGAGGUUUGGCACCUCGAUGUCGGCUCAUCGCAUCCUGGGGCUGUAGUCGGUCCCAAGGGUUGGGCUGUUCGCCCAUUAAAGCGGUACGCGAGCUGGGUUCAGAACGUCGUGAGACAGUUCGGUCCCUAUCCGUCGUGGGCGUAGGAAAUUUGAGAGGAGCUGUCCUUAGUACGAGAGGACCGGGAUGGACAUACCUCUGGUGUACCAGUUGUCGUGCCAACGGCAUAGCUGGGUAGCUAUGUGUGGACGGGAUAAGUGCUGAAAGCAUCUAAGCAUGAAGCCCCCCUCAAGAUGAGAUUU
RNAcentral lists this ribosomal RNA (465 nucleotides) under Staphylococcus aureus. RNAcentral's name for it is "partial 23S ribosomal RNA". It matches the Rfam family "Bacterial large subunit ribosomal RNA", at positions 2348 to 2812 of the family's 2925-position model. Lineage: Bacteria; Bacillati; Bacillota; Bacilli; Caryophanales; Staphylococcaceae. The record is from RNAcentral.